GACGAACGCUGGCGGCGUGCUUAACACAUGCAAGUCGAACGAAGAGCGAUGGAAGCUUGCUUCUAUCAAUCUUAGUGGCGAACGGGUGAGUAACGCGUAAUCAACCUGCCCUUCAGAGGGGGACAACAGUUGGAAACGACUGCUAAUACCGCAUACGAUCCAAUCUCGGCAUCGAGGAUGGAUGAAAGGUGGCCUCUAUUUAUAAGCUAUCACUGAAGGAGGGGAUUGCGUCUGAUUAGCUAGUUGGAGGGGUAACGGCCCACCAAGGCGAUGAUCAGUAGCCGGUCUGAGAGGAUGAACGGCCACAUUGGGACUGAGACACGGCCCAGACUCCUACGGGAGGCAGCAGUGGGGAAUCUUCCGCAAUGGACGAAAGUCUGACGGAGCAACGCCGCGUGAGUGAUGACGGCCUUCGGGUUGUAAAGCUCUGUUAAUCGGGACGAAAGGUCCUCUUGCGAAUAGUUAGAGGAAUUGACGGUACCGGAAUAGAAAGCCACGGCUAACUACG
RNAcentral lists this ribosomal RNA (508 nucleotides) under uncultured bacterium. Its description in RNAcentral is "partial 16S ribosomal RNA". It matches the Rfam family "Bacterial small subunit ribosomal RNA", at positions 28 to 505 of the family's 1533-position model. The record is from RNAcentral.